RNAcentral lists this ribosomal RNA (845 nucleotides) under uncultured archaeon. RNAcentral's name for it is "bacterial SSU rRNA". It matches the Rfam family "Archaeal small subunit ribosomal RNA", at positions 476 to 1319 of the family's 1478-position model. The record is from RNAcentral.
CCGGCAGCCCGAGUGGUGAUCACUAUUAUUGGGUCUAAAGGGUCCGUAGCCGGUUUAAUCAGUCUUCUGGGAAAUCUAAUCGCUUAACUAUUAGGCUUCCAGGGGAUACUGUUAGACUUGGGACCGGGAGAGGUAAGAGGUACUGCAGGGGUAGGAGUGAAAUCUUGUAAUCCCUGUGAGACCACCAGUGGCGAAGGCGUCUUACCAGAACGGGUCCGACGGUGAGGGACGAAAGCUGGGGGCACGAACCGGAUUAGAUACCCGGGUAGUCCCAGCUGUAAACGAUGCUCGUUAGGUGUCAGGAACGGUGCGACUGUUUCUGGUGCCGAAGGGAAGCCGUGAAACGAGCCACCUGGGAAGUACGGCCGCAAGGCUGAAACUUAAAGGAAUUGGCGGGGGAGCACUACAACGGGUGGAGCCUGCGGUUUAAUUGGACUCAACGCCGGAAAACUCACCGGGGGCGACAGCAAUAUGUAGGUCAGGUUAAAGGUCUUACCUGAAUCGCUGAGAGGAGGUGCAUGGCCGUCGUCAGUUCGUACUGUGAAGCAUCCUGUUAAGUCAGGCAACGAGCAAGACCCGUGCCCACUGUUACCAGCAUAUCCUUUAUGGAUGAUGGGGACUCUGUGGGGACCGCUGCUGCUAAAGCAGAGGAAGGUGCGGGCUACGGUAGGUCAGUAUGCCCCGAAUCUCCCGGGCUACACGCGGGCUACAAUGGUUGGGACAAUGGGUAUCUACUCCGAAAGGAGUUGGCAAUCUCUUAAACCCAAUCGUAGUUCGAAUUGAGGGCUGUAACUCGCCCUCAUGAAGCUGGAAUCCGUAGUAAUCGCGUUUCAACAUAGCGCGGU